This 74-nucleotide transfer RNA is filed under the name candidate division Zixibacteria bacterium RBG_16_53_22. RNAcentral's name for it is "tRNA-Lys". Lineage: Bacteria; Pseudomonadati; Candidatus Zixiibacteriota. The record is from RNAcentral.
AAGCGAUCAGUAGCUUGUCUCUGGCCUGACUUUUAAUCAGGGUGUCACAGGUUCGAGACCUGUACGGCCUACCA